RNAcentral lists this ribosomal RNA (231 nucleotides) under uncultured bacterium. Its description in RNAcentral is "partial 16S ribosomal RNA". It matches the Rfam family "Bacterial small subunit ribosomal RNA", at positions 103 to 334 of the family's 1533-position model. The record is from RNAcentral.
CGGGUGAGUAACACGUAUCCAACCUGCCGUCUACUCUUGGACAGCCUUCUGAAAGGAAGAUUAAUACAAGAUGGCAUCAUGAGUUCACAUGCUCACAUGAUUAAAGGUAUUCCGGUAGACGAUGGGGAUGCGUUCCAUUAGAUAGUAGGCGGGGUAACGGCCCACCUAGUCUUCGAUGGAUAGGGGUUCUGAGAGGAAGGUCCCCCACAUUGGAACUGAGACACGGUCCAA